UCGUGGAUCUGCGACGGCGACAGCAGGUGGACGUGGGCGUCGAACCCGCCGGCCGUGAGGAUCUUGCCCUCGCCGGAGAUCACGUCGGUGCCCGGGCCGAUGAUCAGCGCGGGGUCGACGCCGUCGGCGAUGUCAGGGUUGCCGCUGCGCCCGAUGCCGACGAUCCGGCCGUCCCUGAUCCCGACGUCGGCGCGGACGAUGCCCCAGUGGUCGAGGAUCACGACGUUGGUGACCACCGUGUCGAGCGCACCCUCCGCCGAGGUCGCGAGCGACUGGUUCCCCGA
RNAcentral lists this small RNA (284 nucleotides) under Microlunatus antarcticus. RNAcentral describes it as "Friedmanniella antarctica 5' ureB small RNA". It matches the Rfam family "5' ureB small RNA". Lineage: Bacteria; Bacillati; Actinomycetota; Actinomycetes; Propionibacteriales; Propionibacteriaceae. The record is from Rfam by way of RNAcentral.